Molecule: unclassified non-coding RNA, 305 nt
Filed under: plant metagenome
Description: partial contains 5.8S ribosomal RNA, internal transcribed spacer 2, and large subunit ribosomal RNA
Rfam family: 5.8S ribosomal RNA (bases 1-104)
Source: RNAcentral
GAAAUGCGAUAAGUAAUGUGAAUUGCAGAAUUCAGUGAAUCAUCGAAUCUUUGAACGCACAUUGCGCCGCCAGUAUUCUGGCGGGCAUGCCUGUCCGAGCGUCAUUUCAACCAUCAAGCCCCCGGGCUUGUGUUGGGGACCUGCGGCUGCCCGCAGGCCCUGAAAACCAGUGGCGGGCUCGCUGUCACACCGAGCGUAGUAGCAAUCACCUCGCUCAGGGCGUGCUGCGGGUUCCGGCCGUUAAACAGCCUUACAAAACCCAAGGUUGACCUCGGAUCAGGUAGGAAGACCCGCUGAACUUAAGC